Molecule: ribosomal RNA, 653 nt
Filed under: uncultured Fusobacteriota bacterium
Lineage: Bacteria; Fusobacteriati; Fusobacteriota
Description: bacterial SSU rRNA
Rfam family: Bacterial small subunit ribosomal RNA
Source: RNAcentral
UUUUUAACUUAGAUUUGGGUGGCGGACGGGUGAGUAACGCGUAAAGAACUUGCCUCACAGCUAGGGACAACAUUUAGAAAUGAAUGCUAAUACCUGAUAUUAUGAUUUUAAGGCAUCUUAGAAUUAUGAAAGCUAUAAGCACUGUGAGAGAGCUUUGCGUCCCAUUAGCUAGUUGGAGAGGUAACAGCUCACCAAGGCGAUGAUGGGUAGCCGGCCUGAGAGGGUGAACGGCCACAAGGGGACUGAGACACGGCCCUUACUCCUACGGGAGGCAGCAGUGGGGAAUAUUGGACAAUGGACCGAGAGUCUGAUCCAGCAAUUCUGUGUGCACGAUGAAGUUUUUCGGAAUGUAAAGUGCUUUCAGUUGGGAAGAAAGAAAUGACGGUACCAACAGAAGAAGUGACGGCUAAAUACGUGCCAGCAGCCGCGGUAAUACGUAUGUCACGAGCGUUAUCCGGAUUUAUUGGGCGUAAAGCGCGUCUAGGUGGUUAUGUAAGUCUGAUGUGAAAAUGCAGGGCUCAACUCUGUAUUGCGUUGGAAACUGUAUAACUAGAGUACUGGAGAGGUAAGCGGAACUACAAGUGUAGAGGUGAAAUUCGUAGAUAUUUGUAGGAAUGCCGAUGGGGAAGCCAGCUUACUGGACAGAUACUGAC